This 442-nucleotide ribosomal RNA is filed under the name uncultured bacterium. Its description in RNAcentral is "partial 16S ribosomal RNA". It matches the Rfam family "Bacterial small subunit ribosomal RNA", at positions 338 to 795 of the family's 1533-position model. The record is from RNAcentral.
CCUACGGGUAGCAGCAGUGGGGAAUAUUGGGCAAUGGGCGCAAGCCUGACCCAGCAAAGCCGCGUGAAGGAAGAAGGCUUUCGGGUUGUAAACUUCUUUUGUCAGGGAAGAGUAGAAGACGGUACCUGACGAAUAAGCCACGGCUAACUACGUGCCAGCAGCCGAGGUAAUACGUAGGUGGCAAGCGUUGUCCGGAUUUACUGGGUGUAAAGGGCGUGUAGCCGGGUUGACAAGUCAGAUGUGAAAUCCUGCGGCUUAACUGCAGAACUGCAAUUGAAACUGUUGAUCUUGAGUACAGGAGAGGCAGGCGGAAUUCCUAGUGUAGCGGUGAAAUGCGUAGAUAUUAGGAGGAACACCAGUGGCGAAGGCGGUCUGCUGAACAGCAACUGACGGUGAGGCGCGAAAGUGUGGGGAGCAAACAGGAUUAGAUACCCGAGUAGUC